RNAcentral lists this long non-coding RNA (393 nucleotides) under Homo sapiens (human). RNAcentral's name for it is "non-protein coding lnc-SCRN3-11:1". The record is from RNAcentral. Lineage: Eukaryota; Metazoa; Chordata; Mammalia; Primates; Hominidae.
AUGGUGCACAUGAAUGUCCUGCCUGAUGCUCUCAAGAGCAUCAACAAUGCCGAAAGAAGAGGCAAACCCCAGGUUCUUAUUAGGCUGUGCUCCAAAAUCAUCAUCUGGUUUCUCACUGUAAUGGUGAAGUAUGGUUACAUUGGCAAAUUUGAAUCACUGAUGAUUACAGAGCUGGGAAAAAUUGUUGUGAACCUCACAGGUAGGCUAAACAAGCGUUGAGUAAUCAGCCCCAGAUUUGAUGUGCAACUCAAACAUCUGGAAAAAUGGCAGAAUAAUCUGCUUCUAUCCGGCCGGUUUGGUUUUAUUGUACUAACAACCUCAGCUGGUAUCAUGGACCAUGAAGAAGCAAGAAGAAAACACACAGGAGGUAAAAUCCUGGGAUUCUUUUUUUAG